RNAcentral lists this long non-coding RNA (901 nucleotides) under Astyanax mexicanus (Mexican tetra). Its description in RNAcentral is "lncRNA (ENSAMXG00005013970.1)". The record is from RNAcentral. Lineage: Eukaryota; Metazoa; Chordata; Actinopteri; Characiformes; Acestrorhamphidae.
CAAAGACUUGUCUGUUUUUAUUCUCUAUGGGGACUGGCAGAAAGCAGUAGAACUAACGAGAGUAACGUAUCUUAUUCUGAAUAAAUAAAAUAAUCUACGUUAUUAUUUAUAUAAUAUAUUUUACAAAACCCAUAGAAAUAAAGUCAUUUUUAGCAUUGAGAUGCUGUUUAGAUUCCUCGGUUAUGUUUAUCACGUAACAAUUAUAAUAGUAUAAGUGAUUUCAGACAGGAUAACGAGUAGAAAAGACAAGACGGGACUUUACAACAGUUUCUGUUCAAACCACACAUUUCCUCUUCUAAACAGAAGAGCCUGACACGUUGAUUUGUGCUCAAAAACAAACGAGUGUUAUUCCUGAGGAGAAGAGGAAGGAUUACUCAGAGGCUGACCUGCAAACCUUCAACAUCAUGUGACUGAGAGAAAGCAGAACAUUCCUGACAAUAACAGAACCUUCUCUAAAUAUGACAGCCUGCAUCAGGUUGAUUUGUGCUUUUUCUGCAAGAAAGAUUUAAAAAAUGUAACAGGAUUAUUAUUACCACUGAUUAGAAGAUGCCAGGUUCUUCAGUGGUUGGAUCCGGGUGGUUCUUCAGAAUAUUCAGAUUUUUUCAGCCGAAUGCAGAAGAUAAUGAAAAAAUCCCUUUCUGCAACUCUGAAAACCAUCAGAUAGAGGAUUGUGCUAUUUUUGAGAAGUUGUAUCUUGUGGUCAUUGGCUGUCACUAUGCUGGAAAAAAUGAAGUGGGCAACGCUAUCCUUCAAGAGAAAGUUUUCACAAAAUGGGGAAUAUUUUUAAAUAGCCAAGUACAGAAUGAAAGAGAAAUACAUAAUAAAAAGAUUACACUGAUCCGUGUCCCUGGAUGGAAUGGAGAUCUGCAUGCCUCAGUCAACAAGCAACAAAAAAUAAGGG